CAGCCGCCGCGGUAAUACGUAGGUCCCGAGCGUUGUCCGGAUUUAUUGGGCGUAAAGCGAGCGCAGGCGGUUAGAUAAGUCUGAAGUGAAAGGCAGUGGCUCAACCAUUGUAGGCUUUGGAAACUGUUUAACUUGAGUGCAGAAGGGGAGAGUGGAAUUCCAUGUGUAGCGGUGAAAUGCGUAGAUAUAUGGAGGAACACCGGUGGCGAAAGCGGCUCUCUGGUCUGUAACUGACGCUGAGGUUCGAAAGCGUGGGGAGCGAACAGGAUUAGAGACCCCCGUAGUCCCUGUCUCUUAUACA
Molecule: ribosomal RNA, 301 nt
Filed under: uncultured bacterium
Lineage: Bacteria
Description: partial 16S ribosomal RNA
Rfam family: Bacterial small subunit ribosomal RNA
Source: RNAcentral